CACCUCUGUAGCCAACAACCAAGAGAAAUCAUAGAAAUGGCUAAUACAAAAUGUAGCAAGUACAGGAUCCUUAUUACUCAUCCAGAUAUCCCUGCCAAAGCUCUCAAUAUGUUACAAGAGAAGGGAUAUGAACUGAAAAUCAGUCAAAUGCCAAAGGAAAGUAGUGCGCCACCCAGAGAAAUUUUGCUGAAAGAUGUCCAGAACAUGGAUGCCAUUUUAUGGUUCGGACACGUUAAAGUAGACAAAGAAAUGAUUGAUGCUGCUGGCGAACGCCUGAAGGUAGUAGGCAGUAUGGGGGCUGGUUACGACCACAUUGACGUAGGUUUGCUGCACCAGAGGAGCAUCAGAGUGAGCAACACGCCAGAUGUACUCAGUAGCGCGGUGGCAGACAUGGCUGUGGGUCUGGCGUUGGCAGUGUCACGUAACAUUGUCACUGGCGCAGCCGCCGUCAAACAGGGGAAGUGGAUUGGAGUUCAUCCCACAUGGAUGUGUGGUCCAACCUUGGAAAAUGCUACUGUAGGAAUUGUGGGCCUUGGUGCUAUUGGCUCAAAAAUCUUACAAAGAGUAAAAGCUUUUGAUGUCAAGGAAGUCCUUUACUAUAACCGCAGGGAGAAAAACAAGGACGAAGCGAACGGUGCGUGCUACACUUCAUUGGAUGAACUUUUGAAGAAGAGUGACUUUAUAUUCCUCACUGUCCCUUCAAACAAGGACAGUAAAGGUCUUAUUGAUAAGAAUGCGUUUAAGAAGAUGAAAAACACAGCCAUCCUCAUCAAUUCUGCAAGAGGAGAUGUCAUAAAUCAGGAUGAUCUGGUGAUGGCCCUUGAAAACAAAGAAAUUGGUGGAGCAGGAUUGGAUGUUACCCAACCUGAACCCUUACCAGUUGAUCACAAACUGUUGAAAUUUGAUAACGUUGUGGUUACACCUCACAUAUCAAGUGCAACUUUUCAAGCUAGAGAGAAAAUGGCAGUAUUGGCAGCUGAAAACAUAAUCUGUGCUCUUGAAAAUAAAGUUAUGCCAACUCCGAUCCAAAGACAAUAGUCAAAAAGUUUAGACAACAGUGUACGUCAGCUAAUGAGGAAGCUACUUAAAGAAGUGGCACUAAUGAAAUGCAGCCUAUUCAGCCGGCGGCCGCGGCCGUGCCAUUUCAGAUGUCAUCGGAGAUAGGUAAAAACAUCACCACUAAUAAGAGAGCCUGAGGGUAGGAGAGCCGAGCUGAUGAUCCAAAAUGUCAGUGAGUUAAGAUGCUUCACUGUCUGUUACUAUCAGUCAUUCUCUGUCAAGAUGCCCACGGCAAAGGACUGCUUUGCGUGCCAAAUAACUGUAAAUUUUUUUUCACCCUGGAAGAGUAUUGGAAUGAGUGGAUUUUUAUAUUAUGCUGCCAGUAUGGAUCGAAACUUAUUUCUGUGUAUAGUAAAUGAUAAUAAACAUAUGAUUAUUACCUGUAUUUUUGUAACCUUCAAGGCAAGUAAAACGUUUUUCAUUUAGGUUU
This is an RNA transcript of Macrosteles quadrilineatus (aster leafhopper), 1489 nucleotides long. It is a transcript of the gene named glyoxylate reductase/hydroxypyruvate reductase-like, with no coding region annotated. Lineage: Eukaryota; Metazoa; Arthropoda; Insecta; Hemiptera; Cicadellidae. The transcript has 10 exons. The record is from RefSeq and is a predicted model, not a curated record.